AGAUUGAACGCUGGCGGCAUGCCUUACACACGCAAGUCGAACGGCAGCACGGACUUCGGUCUGGUGGCGAGUGGCGAACGGGUGAGUAAUAUAUCGGAACAUACCCAGUAGUGGGGGAUAACUAUCCGAAAGGAUAGCUAAUACCGCAUACGAUCUGUGGAUGAAAGCAGGGGAUCUUCGGACCUUGUGCUAUUGGAAUGGCCGAUAUCUGAUUAGCUAGUUGGUAGGGUAAAAGCCUACCAAGGCGACGAUCAGUAGCUGGUCUGAGAGGACGACCAGCCACACUGGAACUGAGACACGGUCCAGACUCCUACGGGAGGCAGCAGUGGGGAAUUUUGGACAAUGGGGGCAACCCUGAUCCAGCAAUGCCGCGUGAGUGAAGAAGGCCCUCGGGUUGUAAAGCUCUUUUGUCAGGGAAGAAACGGAGUUCUCUAAUAUAGGAUUCUAAUGACGGUACCUGAAGAAUAAGCACCGGCUAACUACGUGCCAGCAGCCGCGGUAAUACGUAGGGUGCAAGCGUUAAUCGGAAUUACUGGGCGUAAAGCGUGCGCAGGCGGUUUUGUAAGUCUGAUGUGAAAUCCCCGGGCUCAACCUGGGAACUGCAUUGGAGACUGCAAGGCUAGAGUGUGUCAGAGGGGGGUAGAAUUCCACGUGUAGCAGUGAAAUGCGUAGAGAUGUGGAGGAAUACCGAUGGCGAAGGCAGCCCCCUGGGAUAACACUGACGCUCAUGCACGAAAGCGUGGGGAGCAAACAGG
RNAcentral lists this ribosomal RNA (755 nucleotides) under uncultured Burkholderiales bacterium. Its description in RNAcentral is "bacterial SSU rRNA". It matches the Rfam family "Bacterial small subunit ribosomal RNA", at positions 26 to 776 of the family's 1533-position model. Lineage: Bacteria; Pseudomonadati; Pseudomonadota; Betaproteobacteria; Burkholderiales. The record is from RNAcentral.